RNAcentral lists this unclassified non-coding RNA (339 nucleotides) under soil metagenome. RNAcentral describes it as "partial contains 5.8S ribosomal RNA, internal transcribed spacer 2, and large subunit ribosomal RNA". The stretch from base 1 to 120 matches the Rfam family "5.8S ribosomal RNA", at positions 35 to 154 of the family's 154-position model. The record is from RNAcentral.
GAUGAAGAACGUAGCGAAAUGCGAUAACUAAUGUGAAUUGCAGAAUUCAGUGAAUCAUCGAGUCUUUGAACGCACAUUGCGCCCCCUGGUAUUCCGGGGGGCAUGCCUGUCCGAGCGUCAUUGCUGCCCUCAAGCACGGCUUGUGUGUUGGGCUCCGUCCCCCCGGGGACGGGCCCGAAAGGCAGCGGCGGCACCGAGUCCGGUCCUCGAGCGUAUGGGGCUUUGUCACCCGCUCAGUAGGCCCGGCCGGCGCCAGCCGACAACCCAUCAUCCUUUUCAGGUUGACCUCGGAUCAGGUAGGGAUACCCGCUGAACUUAAGCAUAUCAAUAAGCGGAGGA